Molecule: non-coding RNA, 117 nt
Filed under: Dethiosulfatarculus sandiegensis
Lineage: Bacteria; Pseudomonadati; Thermodesulfobacteriota; Desulfarculia; Desulfarculales; Desulfarculaceae
Description: TPP sequence
Rfam family: TPP riboswitch aptamer (THI element)
About the family: Vitamin B(1) in its active form thiamin pyrophosphate (TPP) is an essential coenzyme that is synthesised by coupling of pyrimidine and thiazole moieties in bacteria. The previously detected thiamin-regulatory element, thi box was extended, resulting in a new, highly conserved RNA secondary structure, the THI element, which is widely distributed in eubacteria and also occurs in some archaea.
Source: Rfam by way of RNAcentral
ACACAUGCCGGGGGGCGUCACUUGAGACUGAGAGCCCGGCGCGUUAAAAAAGCGCCUGGCGACCCCUUGAACCUGAUCCGGGUAAUUCCGGCGGAGGGAACGGCUAGGCCAGUAAGG